This 450-nucleotide ribosomal RNA is filed under the name uncultured bacterium. RNAcentral describes it as "partial 16S ribosomal RNA". It matches the Rfam family "Bacterial small subunit ribosomal RNA", at positions 338 to 795 of the family's 1533-position model. The record is from RNAcentral.
CCUACGGGGGGCUGCAGUGGGGAAUUUUGGACAAUGGGGGCAACCCUGAUCCAGCCAUGCCGCGUGCGGGAAGAAGGCCUUCGGGUUGUAAACCGCUUUUAGCCGGGAAGAAAAGGCGAGGGAUAACACCCUUCGUUCUUGACGGUACCGGCGGAAUCAGCACCGGCUAACUACGUGCCAGCAGCCGCGGUAAUACGUAGGGUACGAGCGUUAAUCGGAAUUAGUGGGGGCGGUGCGUGCGCAGGCGGGUGAAAGCCCCGGGCUCAACCUGGGAAUGGCAUUGGAUACUGGCGGGCUUGAGUGUGGCAGAGGGGGGUGGAAUUCCGCGUGUAGCAGUGAAAUGCGUAGAGAUGCGGAGGAACACCGAUGGCGAAGGCAGCCCCCUGGGCUGACACUGACGCUCAGGCACGAAAGCGUGGGGAGCAAACAGGAUUAGAUACCCGAGUAGUC